UAGAGUUUGAUCAUGGCUCAGGACGAACGCUGGCGGCGUGCUUAACACAUGCAAGUCGAACGAUGAAGCCCAGCUUGCUGGGUGGAAGAGUGGCGAACGGGUGAGUAACACGUGAGUAACCUGCCCUUCACUCUGGGAUAAGCGCUGGAAACGGUGUCUAAUACUGGAUACGACCCUUACAGGCAUCUGUUGGGGGUGGAAAGAUUUAUCGGUGAAGGAUGGGCUCGCGGCCUAUCAGGUAGUUGGUGAGGUAACGGCUCACCAAGCCGACGACGGGUAGCCGGCCUGAGAGGGUGACCGGCCACACUGGGACUGAGACACGGCCCAGACUCCUACGGGAGGCAGCAGUGGGGAAUAUUGUACAAUGGGCGAAAGCCUGAUGCAGCAACGCCGCGUGAGGGAUGACGGCCUUCGGGUUGUAAACCUCUUUUAGUAGGGAAGAAGCGAAAGUGACGGUACCUGCAGAAAAAGCACCGGCUAACUACGUGCCAGCAGCCGCGGUAAU
Molecule: ribosomal RNA, 505 nt
Filed under: uncultured bacterium
Lineage: Bacteria
Description: bacterial SSU rRNA
Rfam family: Bacterial small subunit ribosomal RNA
Source: RNAcentral